This 234-nucleotide ribosomal RNA is filed under the name uncultured bacterium. Its description in RNAcentral is "partial 16S ribosomal RNA". It matches the Rfam family "Bacterial small subunit ribosomal RNA", at positions 83 to 334 of the family's 1533-position model. The record is from RNAcentral.
CCUUCGGGUCUAGUGGCGCACGGGUGCGUAACGCGUGGGAAUCUGCCCUUAGGUUCGGAAUAACAGUGGGAAACUACUGCUAAUACCGGAUAAUGACGUAAGUCCAAAGAUUUAUCGCCUAAGGAUGAGCCCGCGUAAGAUUAGCUAGUUGGUGGGGUAAAGGCCUACCAAGGCUACGAUCUUUAGCUGGUCUGAGAGGAUGAUCAGCCACACUGGGACUGAGACACGGCCCAG